CAAAAGUCCCAUUUAAAACACGCAUAAAUAAGAGAAAUGGCACAUCAUGUUAUAACACAUCUCUGCAAACGGUUUCCUGCUGGAAUUAAAAGAAGAUGUGAGAAAGGCAUCUGCUCACUGCACAGGUUUUCUCUUAAUUCAGGCAAAAAACCCUGUGGACAAAGCAUCCUCUCAUGAGAACCAAGACCAGCCCACCACUCCAGGCAGUGAGGACUGCCUUGAGCCAGCAAGACUCCACCCAUGACAGUGAUUUUGACAAUGAUCACCUUGAUCUUCACUGACCACCUGCACAUACUCACCAAGCUUUGUCCCACAUUUUCCUUUUGUAAACUUGAUUUUGCCAGCAGUGAGUGGCCGAACCUGGUCUGUUUGGGAACCCCAAAUCCAAGUGCUGUUGUACUUUUGUGCCUCAGCUACAAGAGGAAACACUGGGAAUGAACAGUGGAGAAAUAAAAUAUAAGAUGAAUUGGGAAGAAGGUAUGAAGCAUCUUCAGGGCCAUAAUACUGUGACAUGCAUCAUUUCUCCAGGUCUGACUUUGGCUGCAACUGGGAUGGACAGAUCCUGGGCACACUGACAGGGUGCCACCUCAACGGCAGCGACCUUUCAUAUUUCUGGGCUUUCCUCCUUUAGAGCAUCCUCUAAAGCCAGGAGUGCCAUGAUGCUUCACAGAAUUUCCAAGAAAUGCAGGGAAGAUAUAUGUUCUGGGCUCAUUUCAACUGCUGGGGAUUGGGAAUCACGUGAAAAAUGCCUCGGUCUCCUGUCCUUUAGAAGGACAAGUCAUGAACAUUCUGGGAUGUCUUCAGAAGGUCUCCGACAGAAUUGAGUCUUAUAUCUACAUAUGUAGCUACAAAAUCACUCAACUAUUGCUUCCUAAGUUCCAAAUAGUCUUUCCAUCUCCAUCCAGUGCUCCUUUCCUCCCAGGUUACAGAUGGGACAACAACGACAAUGGCUCUAUCUGUUGGGCCUCCGUGAUUUUAUAGGCACAGUUUUAAGCACUUUACAUGAAUCAGUUCAUUUCUUCUUCACAUCAGUCCUGGAAAAUAGGUAUAAUGAUUAAUUCCAUUUUGAAGACAAAGAGCAUCAAAGUAAAGGGAGAUGGAUUGUCUAGACUAGAGUCACAGUUUUCCAGUGGUGGGGUCUGGAUCUGAACUCAGUCCAGUCUGACUCAUCACAGAAGCCACAAUCUUCUCUAGGUGAUCCCAUUUCCAAGGAACCUAAAGUUGGAAUUAAUUCUUCCAUGGAGGAGUUCAUGAGAGAAAAAUGGGCUCAUGUACAUGGAGGUGUAUAUUCCAGCUCAGCAUUUAACUCCAAAUAUGAGAAGAACAGAGGAAGAAAGUUGACCCCCCACUCAGGCAAAGAUGUUCCCCAUGAAAACUGAUGCUGACCUCUAUUUUGAGGUCCAGGGCAGGCUGACUGGGAUGCACAGGCUGCGGUGCAGCCUGCCAUGCUCAGAUGGAGUGGUGGUGGGGUAGCCUGACAGCUCCUUGGGCGAGAGUUCUUGGACUCCGAGGAGCGAAGGGUGCUUCGCCUCCCCCUGAGAGCCUGCAGGGCUCUGGAGCCAGCCUACUCACAGACACGUGAGACUUCCCUCUGGCAUGUGUUCUGGUGCCCAGCACUAGUGGAAGGUGUGCGAGGAUCUAAAAGCACUCUGGUGAUUUUUUGGAACCCCUGGAAUGGAAGGUUUGCUUGGUUAAAAUCCCGAUAAAAGAUAAAGACAUUUGUGUGGCUCCCAGGCCAGUGCUAAUACUUGGACUUGCCGGUGGCGGAUUACUUCAAGUAGUGGAUUAAUCUGAAAAAGGCUUACAGCUUUGCCAUGGGCUGUUGGCCCAAGAAUGGACUUCUGGACAUGAACAAGAGCCUCAGCCUUCAACACAUAGGCCGGCCCCACAGCGGCAUUGAUGACUGCAAGUACAUUGCCAACAUCAUGAAAACACUUGGGUAUCAAGGCUUCAUCUUCAAGCAGACAUCAAAGCCAUUCUGAUUGGUUGAGGAUGGGUUGGGGCAGGACAGGGUAGCUGCUUGGCCCAGCCCAGAACCUUCCUUUCCCUCACCAGAGGGGAAAAGGGAGAGUGGCACAGCUCUAUAUCCAGAGUGUCCCCCAGCCUGCCCCCUGCCAGGGGCCCAAGCAGGUCAUUCCAGAGAGAGAUAGGGGUGUUUACAAUCCACUGUGAUAAAACCUACAGUCACUUUCAGAAGCUCUUGCAGCAGAGGGGAUACACUGACAUCUUCCAUCUCUUACUGCUGCUGGGUUCUAACUCCAGCCUCUGCCUGAUCCUCCGUCCUCCUCGCACCUGGGUCUCCUAGAGAGUAAAUGAAGUGAAAUGACCUAUAAUGUACUCACCCAGGGCUCUUAUUUGGAGUGAGCAUGUGUAUUUCAAGGCCAUAGGGAUCCCUUCUCCCGGGCUUCUCCACUUGCUAAGUAACUCACAGAGCAGUACAUCCAUGGGCUUCUAAUGCACUGUAUGACGCAUAUCCCUGGCAACAUGUUUGUGGGAUGUGGGGCAUGGGAUGUGGUAGUGGCUCAACUGGAAGUGUGUUGGGAGAAUAAUCCAUUAAAGAGGGGGAAAAAUCAAUAUCACAAUUAGGGACCAUUUCAUCCUAUAAUGACGCCAGCUGCUAAGGAGGGCCACUGCUACCAGGUGCUGCCUUUAAUGGCGUGUGCUGUCUGCUGCUCUCAUCAGCCCCUCUGCCUUCCCAGGAUGUGAUGUCCUCCUCGGACACCAAGGAUGUUGAAAAUAAGCAGAUGCAAGGCCUAAAUAUCCUGUAUUCAUCAACAGUACAAGAGAACAAUUUAUUAUGAGGCUAAAAACAUCCUUCCCCAAUCAGCUAAACUUCAUGGACAAUGCAGUUUCACUUCCUGGAAUAUUUUCUCUUUGGUUUUCUUCUUUUCCUCUUCUCCUUUCCCAUGGAAAGCAUUUAAAGCACCAGGACAGCUGAUUUUACCAUGUCAAAGAAACACAACAUUCCCUGGGAAAUUGUGCGUGAGGAAUGACUUACAUGUAGAAGCCAACCUUUUCGUGUCUGCAGAAGAGUUCAAAUUAUUACCUUGGUCCUUGAUAAUCAUCGUCUUUCAUGAUCAUUCAUUGAUUCAUUCUAGAAACAUGCAUUCAGUUCCUAUGUAUGUUAGUUACAUUGUGUUGGGUCACUGAAAAGUUCAUUCAAAACAUAGAUAAUUGGCAUUUCCCCAAGUAAAAGGCCAACCUCACGAUCAAUCAUGAGCACAUCUUCUUAAAGUCACUUAAAACUGAAGUUAUUUUAGUUGUAUUUGGAACUAAAAGCAAUUAAAACAAAAAAAAUUUAAGCUUUCAGCAAUAGAAAUGUUCCCUAUUAUUUUUAGUAUAAUUAAAAAAUAUAUAUUUCAAAACAA
Molecule: long non-coding RNA, 3368 nt
Organism: Mustela lutreola (European mink)
Lineage: Eukaryota; Metazoa; Chordata; Mammalia; Carnivora; Mustelidae
Exons: 4
Source: RefSeq, a predicted model, not a curated record